AAGGCAAGGAUACCCCUACAUCAAGGAGAGGCCAGAUGCCCGAGUGAGCCCCCACUCCCCCAGCUUCGUUGGUUCUGCUGGUCAGAGCAACGCUUUCCGGACAGAAGUGAAAUCUCAGAACAUCCGAGCUGGAGGGGCCCUCAGAGGCCACCAGCUAUCAUCUUUUCAUUUUACAGCGGAGGAGAGACAAAGCAAGGCUGCAAAGAGAUGAAAGGUCUUGCCCAGAGUCACAUAACGGUGAGGAACAGGAGACCCGCAGAGGGGAUGGCCUCCUGGGGACCCCAGCUGCGCGGGUAGAAGCAGGACUUGAAGCAUUCUCUCUCUUCCUUCCUUGGACACACCUACUCGGAGGCUCCUGGCCCCGGGAGGCCCCCAGCGGAGCUGGAGGAGGGCCCAGCACCAGGGGUGGGUGAGAUGCCAGCACCCCCUUGGAGAUCAGAACUGCUAGUCGGGUCAGCUGACCCCAUCUCUGGCCACCUGAGUGACCCUCCUGGGGGACUGGACCUGGAGCUUGGGCUCCUCGGGUGCCAGCGUCACUGCUCUGGUCUCCCCAGUCUGCCCAGAGCCCCCUAAAGCCCACCGUGUGCUCAGCCAUGGGACUCCUCAUCCGAAGCCUCCGAGCCCUCCUUUUCCCAUCCCUCCACCACCCGGCCCGCUGGUACCAGAGCUGCCCUGCAGGACAAGCCUCAGCCUGGGCCACAGGCAAGGCCGCUUGACUCAGCAGUCCCUGCUGUGCCCACAGCCGGCGGGGAGGUUGCAGGUGCCUCCCCUCCCUGCCCAGGCAUCAAGUCACAGGGCUUGAAUACUUCCCAGGACAGGGAGCUCAUCAGCCCCAGGCAGCAGCCUGCCCCAGGCAGAAACGCUUCGACUUCCGAGACAAGUCCUUUGUGAUGAACUGACACCUGAACACCGGUUAAUUCCAUCUGUUUACACAUUUUCGUCAUCCGCAUCAUUAUUAAUACUGUCUACAUACCAGCACACUGCAGUAUGUCAGCGAAUCCUUCACCACUUGUGGAGCUGGGGCCUGUCUCUCCAUCAUGUACUGGUAGAUGGGAAACCUGAGGUCCAGAGGAAGUGUGUCACCUAAGUGUGUGACACGGCCAGGAAGUCACAGAACGUGGGCUCAGAUCCAGAGCCCAGGCCCUUGCCAGCCAGGGGUGUGCCCAUCCAGGUUCCACCAUCUGCUUAGCUCCCCUCUCCAGCGUGUUCUUACUUCUCUGCCAGGGGCCACUACCCCACAAAGCUCACACCUUCUCCCCCAGACCCUGCAGAUGGAUCAACUACUCCUCCAGGAAGUCCUCCUGAGACAGCCAAAGGGUAUGGAAGGAACCCUCUUCCCAAGGUAUCUUCUAAUAGAGGAAGGGAGGGGUUAAGGGGUGGGAGACAGGUGUCUUAUUC
This is a long non-coding RNA of Bos taurus (domestic cattle), 1398 nucleotides long. Lineage: Eukaryota; Metazoa; Chordata; Mammalia; Artiodactyla; Bovidae. The record is from Ensembl.